UUUGCGCAUGGCCGAANGCUGNGCAGCGACGCCGCGUGUGGGAGGAAGCUCUUCGGGGUGUAAACCACUGUUGCCCGGGACGAAUGAUGAGCAUUCGCUCAUUUGACGGUACCGGGUGAGGAAGCACCGGCUAACUCUGUGCCAGCAGCCGCGGUAAUACAGAGGGUGCGAGCGUUGUCCGGAAUCACNUGGGCGUAAAGGGCGCGUAGGCGGCUUGAUAAGCGUGCGGUGAAAGCCCGGGGCUCAACCCCGGGUCGGCCGUGCGAACUGUCGAGCUGGAGCACNUGUAGAGGCAGGUGGAAUUCCGGGUGUAGCNGGUGGAAUGCGUAGAGAUCCGGAAGAACACCGGUGGCGAAGGCGGCCUGCUGGGCAGUGGCUGACGCUGAGGCGCGACAGCGUGGGGAGCAAACAGGAUUAGAUACCCUGGUAGUCCACGCCGUAAACGAUGGGCACUAGGUGCUUGGGGGAGCGACCCUCCGAGUGCCGGCGCUAACGCAUUAAGUGCCCCGCCUGGGGAGUACGGCCGCAAGGCUGAAACUCAAAGAAAUUGACGGA
RNAcentral lists this ribosomal RNA (555 nucleotides) under uncultured bacterium. Its description in RNAcentral is "bacterial SSU rRNA". It matches the Rfam family "Bacterial small subunit ribosomal RNA", at positions 363 to 917 of the family's 1533-position model. The record is from RNAcentral.